GACGAACGCUGGCGGCGUGCUUAACACAUGCAAGUCGAACGGAAAGGCCCUGCUUUUGUGGGGUGCUCGAUUGGCGAACGGGUGAGUAACACGUGAGUAACCUGCCCUUGACUUUGGGAUAACUUCAGGAAACUGGGGCUAAUACCGGAUAGGAGCUCCUGCUGCAUGGUGGGGGUUGGAACGUUUCGGCGGUUGGGGAUGGACUCGCGGCUUAUCAGCUUGUUGGUGGGGUAGUGGCUUACCAAGGCUUUGACGGGUAGCCGGCCUGAGAGGGUGACCGGCCACAUUGGGACUGAGAUACGGCCCAGACUCCUACGGGAGGCAGCAGUGGGGAAUAUUGCACAAUGGGCGGAAGCCUGAUGCAGCAACGCCGCGUGCGGGAUGACGGCCUUCGGGUUGUAAACCGCUUUCGCCUGUGACGAAGCGGGAGUGACGGUAAUGGGUACAGAAGCACCGGCUAACUACGUG
This 468-nucleotide ribosomal RNA is filed under the name uncultured bacterium. RNAcentral describes it as "partial 16S ribosomal RNA". It matches the Rfam family "Bacterial small subunit ribosomal RNA", at positions 28 to 507 of the family's 1533-position model. The record is from RNAcentral.